Long non-coding RNA from Pygocentrus nattereri (red-bellied piranha), 783 nucleotides. RefSeq lists it as uncharacterized. The transcript is spliced from 2 exons. The record is from RefSeq and is a predicted model, not a curated record. Lineage: Eukaryota; Metazoa; Chordata; Actinopteri; Characiformes; Serrasalmidae.
CAGAGAAACAGAUGGACUACAGUCUGUAACUGUAGAACUACAGAGUGCUACUCUUUGUUACACACUUACAAAACGCUGCCCACAGGACACUGUUGGCUGGAUAUUUUUGGUUGGUGGACUAUUCUCAGUCCAGCAGUGACACUGAGACCAGCGCAACACACACUAACACACCGCCUACUACAAAGUGCAGCUGUCCAGUAAGUGGAGCUGAUAAGAUGGACAAUGAGCGCAGACAGAAGGAGGUGGACGUGACGUUACGUACAUUUGCUAUUUUAAUUAUAAGAAACUAAAAAUAAUAAUAAUCUGGAAUCAGUGUUUUCAGUAAUAUGAAUCCAAUUUAGUGGGAAUCAAGUGAUUCUAAUGAAGCCUGUACAACUUCACAGCUUUCAAAUAAGUAUUAGGACACUAGGAAGCCAUCACUGAAUAAAAACGAAAACAUUCUAGAUGUGUCCAGAAUGAUGAUUGAUUCCAGAAAGACCGGAAACACUGUACGUCACUGAGAAGGACGUUUAAUAAAAUUAAAAUCCAGAAUUCAUCAUAUUACAAAAGUCAAUUACAAGAAAAACAACAAAAAAUAUUGUGAAUAUUAGGGCUGAGCAAUAUGACAAUAUAUAUCAUUAUCGUGAUGCAUUCUGUCAAAAUACAAUACAGAAUGAUGCUUUUCUGUGUCACCAGUACUAGAAGACACGGACUGACCGCGUGUCUCGUUUAUAAAGAGAGUGAAAUCGCUGUUUAGUGCAACACCGUGUGCCAAAUGCUGAAUAAAGAUCUUUGUAUUUGUCA